CCAAGGAGUCUAACACGUGUGCGAGUCAUGGAGCUGUACGAAACUCAAAGGCGUAAUGAAAGUGAAGGCCGGGCCUUAGUUGUUCGGCUUAGGUAAGAUGACUGUUUUUUGUUUUCGGACGGAGGCAGUCCGCACUACCGGCCCGUCUCGAUCUCACCGUGGAUGAGGCGGAGCAAGAGCACAUGCGUUGGGACCCGAAAGAUGGUGAACUAUGCCUGAGCAGGAUGAAGCCAGAGGAAACUCUGGUGGAAGUCCGUAGCGAUUCUGACGUGCAAAUCGAUCGUCAAACUUGGGUAUAGGGGCGAAAGACUAAUCGAACC
RNAcentral lists this ribosomal RNA (320 nucleotides) under Branchiomaldane sp. 'C. Bleidorn 01ARE008 (P)'. Its description in RNAcentral is "eukaryotic LSU rRNA". It matches the Rfam family "Eukaryotic large subunit ribosomal RNA", at positions 666 to 941 of the family's 3401-position model. The record is from RNAcentral. Lineage: Eukaryota; Metazoa; Annelida; Polychaeta; Arenicolidae.